RNAcentral lists this transfer RNA (71 nucleotides) under Trichechus manatus latirostris (Florida manatee). Its description in RNAcentral is "tRNA-Lys (TTT) (tRNA-Lys-TTT-12-1)". It matches the Rfam family "tRNA". From Rfam's summary of the family: Transfer RNA (tRNA) molecules are approximately 80 nucleotides in length. Their secondary structure includes four short double-helical elements and three loops (D, anti-codon, and T loops). Lineage: Eukaryota; Metazoa; Chordata; Mammalia; Sirenia; Trichechidae. The record is from Rfam by way of RNAcentral.
GCAGUGGUAGUUCAGUGGCAGAAUUCUCACCUUUUAUGUGGGAGACCUGGGUUUGACUCCCAGCCAAUGCA